AGCUCUGUAAGCGUAUACCAAAGUUGUUGCAGUUAAAACGCUCGUAGUCGAACUUUGGCGUCAGAUACUGAGACUCCUACUGGACGUUGACGUAUCUACGCCUUUGUGGAGGGGGGUACGGUGGUGCUUUAUUGUAUUGCCGUAUUUCCGCCACUUUUUACUGUGAAAAAAUUAGAGUGUUCAAAGCGAGCGUUUGCCAUGAAUACAUUAGCAUGGAAUAAUAGAAUAGGACCUGGUCCUGUUUUAUUGGUUUGUCAGUAUCAGGUAAUGAUUAACAGGGACGGUCGGGGGCAUUUGUAUUCCAGCGCUAGAGGUGAAAUUCUUGGAUUGCUGGAAGACAAACAGCUGCGAAAGCGUCUGCCAAGGACGUUUUCA
RNAcentral lists this ribosomal RNA (375 nucleotides) under uncultured eukaryote. Its description in RNAcentral is "SSU rRNA". It matches the Rfam family "Eukaryotic small subunit ribosomal RNA", at positions 587 to 972 of the family's 1831-position model. The record is from RNAcentral.